AUAUCAGUCAUGCAUAGCAUAUCAAUAAGCGGAGGAAAAGAAACUAACAAGGAUUCCCUUAGUAACGGCGAGUGAAGCGGGAAGAGCUCAAAUUUGAAAUCUUCAAGGUUUUACCUUGACGAAUUGUAGUUUAAAGAAGUGUUUUCUGUUGAAGUUUUGGUAAAAGUUCUUUGGAAUAGGACAUCAUAGAGGGUGAGAAUCCCGUAUUUGACCAUUACUUUCAGCUUUGUGAUACACUUUCAAAGAGUCGGAUUGUUUGGGAAUGCAGUCCAAAAUGGGUGGUAAAUUUCAUCUAAAGCUAAAUAUUGGCGAGAGACCGAUAGCGAACAAGUACCGUGAGGGAAAGAUGAAAAGAACUUUGAAAAGAGAGUUAAACAGUACGUGAAAUUGUCAAAAGGGAAGCGUUUGACACCAGUGUUGUUUUCUCGAAAAUCAAUUAAAAAGAGUUGGAUUUUGUGUUGUAUUGACUUUAUCAGCUUUCUUCACUCUUUUCCAGCUUUUUUUAAUGCACUUUUCGUUUAACAAGUCAACAUCAGUUUCUUUUGUUGUAAAAAGGUCAUUGGAAGGUGGCUUUCUCUUCGGAGAAAGUGUUUAUAGCCUUUGACUCAUGCAAUCGGAGAGACUGAGGUCUGCAGCGUAGAUCCUUCGGGGUUAGAUACAUUUGUGCUAAGUUAUAGCUUUUCAUAGACAACUUGUUGACUAUGUUUAGUCUUGUAGCUUACUCGCUUAUGCUAUUUUACCUACGCUUAGGAUGUUGAACUCUAUCACCACAG
Molecule: ribosomal RNA, 773 nt
Filed under: uncultured Neocallimastigales
Lineage: Eukaryota; Fungi; Neocallimastigomycota; Neocallimastigomycetes; Neocallimastigales
Description: partial large subunit ribosomal RNA
Rfam family: Eukaryotic large subunit ribosomal RNA
Source: RNAcentral